CUCACAAUGGAUUCAAAUUGUAGAAUAAUUCAGUUAAAAUAAACCUGGGCUGAGCUAUCAUUUAUGUUUGACAGUUUUGACAUAGAAUAACUGAUUAAGGAUGAAUUGAUAUAUAAAUAAAAAUAUAUUGCUGCUCCUUUUUGUUUGUAAGUGCCAAAGAACACAUUUAUUUUAUACUGGGAGUGGGGAGUCCAUAAGUGCUUUCCUGAACACUUAGAUGUGAAGGCCUUAUUUCUAUAACAUAGUCUGUAACACAGAUGCACUAGUCUGUAGAAAAAAACAAUUUCACUCUAUUUCUCUAUCCCACAAUAAAAUAUCUAGCAGAACACAGAGAAAAGGUUAAUGAUUAAUAUUAAAUGUUCUACUCUACCUAAAAACUACUGUUUAAUGCAAUAUAAAGAAAUCAAAUUGCAAACAGCUAUUUACUUAAUGUUUCUUGUUUGCCUAACUUGAGCUUACCCAUCCUUAAGAGCCUGUAACAGAAGAGAUUCUUUCUGUCUCCUUACCAAACCUCUGCUGCCUAGGCUACCAGAAGACCAGAUCGAACUCAGGACAUUGAGCUUGGAGGCAGGCAUGGUGCCACUGAGCUACAUCCCGGCCCAUAGGUUAUUCUCAGCGGUGUUUGGAUUCUUAGAUGAGAUUUGCCAGACUGGGAACUAAAGCACUUAGAACACUUUGGCAAGGCUUUGGAGCUGGAUUUCACUGUGCAACUGUGAAGCUGUUCUUGCAAAGGUUUGACAGGAAGAGACUUCAGUGCUGAGCCAGAAAAUAAGUGCAUCCAAAGAAGAGCUGACCCAUUAUUCAAGCAUCUCCAGUCUUCUUUGCUACAAAGAAGAUACUACACACCUGCUGCUACAGUUGUCUCUGGUUAAAAAACUCUUCCCUUCAAUUUAGGAAGCCUGACCAAGAGAUAAAUUAUUUCUCCUUGUCAAUGAACACACAUUUUUUAUUUGCUUAAUCCGAUACAAUUUCUUUCUCCUCAUCUCAUUUUUGAUUUUCCUUUCUUGGAGAAAAAUGAGAGAGGAAAAUGAGGUUUAGAUUAAGUAAACAGAUGCCAAACAUUUUGUGAGGCUGUUAUACAUUAGAUGUCCCAGCUACAACCUUUAUCUGUCUUUAUAACAUUGUAUUCAUGUGAAUAUUGAGUUACAUGGAUUCAUUUUGUAUGCCAUCGUAAAGCUGCAUCUUGAAGUCCUCUUCUCUUGGGAGAUCUUUGUGCAAUUUCCUUAUCAAUGUACAGCACUACUGAAAUAACUAUUUUAGGUGUUCUCUCAUGGACAGAUGACCCAGGACAGACACAGUCAUCUCACUGUGCUUUGUGUGAUUCAUCUGCAGUUCAAUUCUUUGGAGUUUCAGCUCUUAGCACAAUACCACUUCCUGUUUUUGAGAGGAGAAAUGGCAUAAAAAAUCACAUAAAAAGUCUUAUGAGGCCCUUGGACAUCAAAUAACUCUUGCAAAACAAAAUUUUAAUAAAUUAAGUGUAAAUGAAUCAGAAACAUGUGGGUUGAAUUUCCCUGGAAAUACCCAAGGGCUUAAAAAUUAAAAAAAAAAUUAAAAAGAAUUGCUUGGCAAAGAAUCUUGUGCAUUUUACUGAGCUCAAGCCUUUUGAAAAAGAGCAAAAGAAAACAGCCUUGAUUUGGUUGACUGAAUUAAGAAAACACUCCUGUACCCUUUAUUUAUUUUUAAUUCUACAAAAGUCAGAUUGAAGGUAUAAUUACGUUUCUUUUUGGGUGCCAAAUACAUCGAUGUUAGAGCAUUUUUCAAGUACAGUAACAUUUUGACUAACCAGAACCUCAAGUCAUGGUUGUCUUUUCAAAGGCAAUAGUGGCAGGCAAAGAAAAACUAAAAACUGUAGUUCAAGUAAAGGUCAUUAGAGCUGAGGUAAAGAAAACAUGGUGAUCAUUCAGUUCACUAACCAAGAGGAUCCUAACUGUAAAGGAACCCUGAGCCUUGGUAGUUAGCCACUGAACAAAGCACAAAAAGCAGUCAUGUGAAGACCAAAGCUCAGAAUGUAAGGAAAGUUGAAAUAAGUGGAAAAAUCUGUCUACUGAACGGAAGCUCUGGAAUAAAAGGAAAUGGCUGACCAAGGAAAAUAAAAGUUGCAAGAACUGAAAAAUUUAAAUAGCAGCUAGCAAUGGCCAAAAUGAAGCACAGGCAUAGGGAUUUGAAGGUUGGACACAGAAAAGCAAAACAAAGACCAAUAUUCACACCCCAAACCGUACUGUGAACACAAAG
Heterocephalus glaber (naked mole-rat) is the source of this 2232-nucleotide long non-coding RNA. Lineage: Eukaryota; Metazoa; Chordata; Mammalia; Rodentia; Bathyergidae. The record is from Ensembl.